GCAUGUGAAGACCUGUGUUGAUAUUUUCCUUUUUUUUUGCCAAGGGGAUGCAAAGCAGCCAAAUAUUCAUUGAUUGGAAUCACUGAAGCUGCAGUCAUGGUGCCACCGAGCCAAAUAUUGUGAGUCUCAAUACAACCACUGUCUACAAAUUAUCUCUCAACACAAUUCUCUCAAACAAUCUUUUCCAGGAGGAGUUAGUGACCAUGACCUGAUUUUUUACUGAUGAGUACCAUGAAAGACAAGAUAACCUUUUGGAUUGAGAACAUAGCUCAUUAAUCAAGGUCUGGGCCAUACUGUCAGAACAUGGAUUUCUGAGCACAUCAAAAUUUCUAG
Molecule: long non-coding RNA, 333 nt
Organism: Rhincodon typus (whale shark)
Lineage: Eukaryota; Metazoa; Chordata; Chondrichthyes; Orectolobiformes; Rhincodontidae
Exons: 4
Source: RefSeq, a predicted model, not a curated record